CCUACGGGGCGCAGCAGUGAGGAAUAUUGGUCAAUGGGCGGGAGCCUGAACCAGCCAUGCCGCGUGAAGGCGAGUGCCCUACGGGCGUUAAACUUCUUUUGUGCGGGGAUAACACCCUCCACUUGUGGAGGUCUGCAGGUACCGUGCGAAUAAGGGCCGGCUAAUUCCGUGCCAGCAGCCGCGGUAAUACGGAAGGCCCGAGCGUUAUCCGGAUUCAUUGGGCUUAAAGGGAGCGUAGGCGGGCGUUCAAGUCAGCGGUAAAAACGCGCGGCUCAACCGCGCCCCGCAGUUGAAACUGGACGCCUUGAGUUCACGACAGGCAGGCGGAAUUCGUGGUGUAGCGGUGAAAUGCAUAGAUAUCACGAGGAACCCCGAUUGCGAAGGCAGCCUGCCGGGGUGCGACUGACGCUGAGGCUCGAAGGUGCGGGUAUCAAACAGGAUUAGAUACCCGAGUAGUC
Molecule: ribosomal RNA, 458 nt
Filed under: uncultured bacterium
Lineage: Bacteria
Description: partial 16S ribosomal RNA
Rfam family: Bacterial small subunit ribosomal RNA
Source: RNAcentral